RNAcentral lists this non-coding RNA (24 nucleotides) under Cricetulus griseus (Chinese hamster). The record is from RNAcentral. Lineage: Eukaryota; Metazoa; Chordata; Mammalia; Rodentia; Cricetidae.
CAGAUGAAUUGUAGACUGAACUCA